UCGGACGGGGCACAGCCCGCCCACUCGUAAGCGACCUACUAGAUUCAGGCCCGCGUGCCCAUG
Molecule: ribosomal RNA, 63 nt
Filed under: Albizia kalkora
Lineage: Eukaryota; Viridiplantae; Streptophyta; Magnoliopsida; Fabales; Fabaceae
Description: partial 26S ribosomal RNA
Source: RNAcentral